This 61-nucleotide ribosomal RNA is filed under the name Diplocarpon coronariae. RNAcentral's name for it is "partial 28S ribosomal RNA". Lineage: Eukaryota; Fungi; Ascomycota; Leotiomycetes; Helotiales; Drepanopezizaceae. The record is from RNAcentral.
CGGUUGACCUCGGAUCAGGUAGGGAUACCCGCUGAACUUAAGCAUAUCAAUAGCGGGAGGA